AACGUUGAGAAUCAAUGAGAUCAGCAACAAGUGCUGGUUCGCCCUCAGCAGAGAGACAACGGAAGCUUGAAGAUGGACAUGGCAUAUUGCGAAUCCAGGAGAACAUUUCCUUCUUGGAUCGGCCCCAAUCCGAAGGAAUGCCCAGGUAUUUUCCAUACUUAGUGAG
Long non-coding RNA from Eucalyptus grandis, 166 nucleotides. RefSeq lists it as uncharacterized. The record is from RefSeq and is a predicted model, not a curated record. NCBI's taxonomy places the organism in Eukaryota, Viridiplantae, Streptophyta, Magnoliopsida, Myrtales, Myrtaceae. The transcript has 3 exons.